This 895-nucleotide ribosomal RNA is filed under the name Nectriopsis microspora. Its description in RNAcentral is "LSU rRNA". It matches the Rfam family "Eukaryotic large subunit ribosomal RNA", at positions 38 to 965 of the family's 3401-position model. The record is from RNAcentral. Lineage: Eukaryota; Fungi; Ascomycota; Sordariomycetes; Hypocreales; Bionectriaceae.
GCAUAUCAAUAAGCGGAGGAAAAGAAACCAACAGGGAUUGCCCCAGUAACGGCGAGUGAAGCGGCAACAGCUCAAAUUUGAAAUCUGGCCCUAGGCCCGAGUUGUAAUUUGUAGAGGAUGUUUCUGACGAGGUACCUUCCGAGUUCCCUGGAACGGGACGCCAUAGAGGGUGAGAGCCCCGUACGGUUGGUCGCCAAGUCUCUGUGAAACUCCUUCGACGAGUCGAGUAGUUUGGGAAUGCUGCUCUAAAUGGGAGGUAUACGUCUUCUAAAGCUAAAUAUAGGCCAGAGACCGAUAGCGCACAAGUAGAGUGAUCGAAAGAUGAAAAGCACUUUGAAAAGAGGGUUAAAUAGUACGUGAAAUUGUUGAAAGGGAAGCGCAUAUGACCAGACUUGGCCAGGUUAAUCAUCCAUCGUUCUCGGUGGUGCACUUUGCCUGGCCAGGCCAGCAUCAGUUCGCUUUGGGGGAUAAAGACUUUGGGAAUGUGGCUCCCUCGGGAGUGUUAUAGCCCAUUGUGUAAUACCCUGGAGUGGACUGAGGUUCGCGCAUCUGCAAGGAUGCUGGCGUAAUGGUCAUCUGCGACCCGUCUUGAAACACGGACCAAGGAGUCGUCUUCGUAUGCGAGUGUUCGGGUGUCAAACCCCUACGCGUAAUGAAAGUGAACGUAGGAGAGAGCUUCGGCGCAUCUCCGACCGAUCCUGAUGUUCUCGGAUGGAUUUGAGUAAGAGCAUACGGGGCCGGACCCGAAAGAAGGUGAACUAUGCCUGUAUAGGGUGAAGCCAGAGGAAACUCUGGUGGAGGCUCGCAGCGGUUCUGACGUGCAAAUCGAUCGUCAAAUAUGGGCAUGGGGGGCGAAAGACUAAUCGAACCUUCUAGUAGCUGGGUUUCCGCCGAA